GAAACUGCGAAUGGCUCAUUAAAUCAGUUAUCGUUUAUUUGAUAGUACCUUACUACUUGGAUAACCGUGGUAAUUCUAGAGCUAAUACAUGCUAAAAACCCCAACUCACGAAGGGGUGUAUUUAUUAGAUUAAAAACCAAUGCCCUCCCGGGCUCCCUGGUGAUUCAUAAAUAACUUCUCGGAUCGCACGGCCCUUGCGCCGGCGAUGGGUUCAUUUCAAAUUUCUGCCCUAUCAAACUUUCGAUGGGCUGGGUCUUGGCCCAGCCAUGGUGACAACGGGUAACGGAGGGUUAGGGCUCGACCCCGGAGAGGGAGCCUGAGAAACGGCUACCACAUCCAAGGAAGGCAGCAGGCGCGCAAAUUACCCAAUCCCGACUCGGGGAGGUAGUGACAAUAAAUACUGAUGCAGGGCUCUUUUGGGUCUUGCAAUUGGAAUGAGUACAAUUUAAAUCCCUUAACGAGGAACAAUUGGAGGGCAAGUCUGGUGCCAGCAGCCGCGGUAAUUCCAGCUCCAAUAGCGUAUAUUAAAGUUGUUGAGGUUAAAAAGCUCGUAGUUGAACCUUGGGCCUGGCUGGCCGGUCCGCCUCACCGCGUGCACUGGUCCGGCCGGGUCUUUCCCUCUGGGGAGCCGCAUGCCCUUUAUUGGGCGUGUCGGGGAAACCAGGACUUUUACCGUGAAUAAAUUGGAUCGCUUAAAGAAGGCUUCUGCUCGAACAGUACAGCAUGGAAUAAUGAAAAUAGGACGUGUGGUUCUAUUUUGUUGGUUUCUAGGACCGCCGUAAUGAUUAAUAGGGACAGUCGGGGGCGUCCCGUAUUCAAUUGUUCAGAGGUGAAAUUCUUGGAUUUAUUGAAGACGAACUACUGCGAAAGCAUUCGCCAAGGAUGUUUUCAUUAAUCAGGAACGAAAGUUAGGGGAUCGAAGACGAUCAGAUACCGUCGUAGUCUUAACCAUAAACUAUGCCGAUUAGGGAUCGGACGGUGUUAUUUUUUGACCCGUUCGGCACCUUACGAUAAAUC
Molecule: ribosomal RNA, 1017 nt
Filed under: Telimena semialarii
Lineage: Eukaryota; Fungi; Ascomycota; Sordariomycetes; Phyllachorales; Telimenaceae
Description: SSU rRNA
Rfam family: Eukaryotic small subunit ribosomal RNA
Source: RNAcentral